CUGGCUCAGGACGAACGCUGGCGGCGUGCCUAACACAUGCAAGUCGAGCGGUUCGGCACUUAGCGCAAGUUAAGUGUCGGAUAGCGGCGGACGGGUGAGUAACGCGUGGGCAACCUACCCUUAAGACCGGGAUAACACCUCGAAAGGGGUGCUAAUACUGGAUAAGGUCAUAAGGUGGCAUCACCAUAUGAAGAAAGGGGGAACCCGCUUAAGGAUGGGCCCGCGUCCCAUCAGCUAGUUGGUGAGGUAACGGCUCACCAAGGCGACGACGGGUAGCCGGCCUGAGAGGGUGGUCGGCCACACUGGGACUGAGACACGGCCCA
This 323-nucleotide ribosomal RNA is filed under the name Thermoanaerobacter uzonensis DSM 18761. Its description in RNAcentral is "bacterial SSU rRNA". It matches the Rfam family "Bacterial small subunit ribosomal RNA", at positions 19 to 333 of the family's 1533-position model. The record is from RNAcentral. Lineage: Bacteria; Bacillati; Bacillota; Clostridia; Thermoanaerobacterales; Thermoanaerobacteraceae.